This 640-nucleotide ribosomal RNA is filed under the name uncultured Bacteroidota bacterium. Its description in RNAcentral is "bacterial SSU rRNA". It matches the Rfam family "Bacterial small subunit ribosomal RNA", at positions 795 to 1451 of the family's 1533-position model. The record is from RNAcentral. Lineage: Bacteria; Pseudomonadati; Bacteroidota.
CCACGCUGUAAACGAUGAUAACUCGUUGCUAGCGAUACACUGUCAGUGACUAAGCGAAAGUGUUAAGUUAUCCACCUGGGGAGUACGAUCGCAAGGUUGAAACUCAAAGGAAUUGACGAGGGCCCGCACAAGCGGUGGAGCAUGUGGUUUAAUUCGAUGAUACGCGAGGAACCUUACCAGGGCUUAAAUGUAGGACGACAGUUUGGGAAACCAUUCUUUCUUCGGACGGCCUACAAGGUGCUGCAUGGUUGUCGUCAGCUCGUGCCGUGAGGUGUCGGGUUAAGUCCCAUAACGAGCGCAACCCCUAUUUCUAGUUGCCAGCGAGUAAUGUCGGGGACUCUAGAGAAACUGCCGGUGCAAACCGUGAGGAAGGUGGGGAUGACGUCAAAUCAUCACGGCCCUUACGUCCUGGGCACACACGUGCUACAAUGGUAAGUACAGAGGGACGCCAUGUGGUGACACAGAGCAAAUCCUAAAAGCUUAUCUCAGUUCGGAUUGGAGUCUGCAACUCGACUCCAUGAAGCUGGAAUCGCUAGUAAUCGGAUAUCAGCCAUGAUCCGGUGAAUACGUUCCCGGGCCUUGUACACACCGCCCGUCAAGCCAUGGAAGCUGGGGGUGCCUGAAGUCGGAACCGAAAGGA